CAUGCCGAGCCGUUAUUUGAAAAAGAUUAUUUUUCCCCUGCCUCCGUUCUGUUGCUGCGACGCCUGGCUACCAGCUCAGAACAACGACUACCGUGUCUUUGCUUCUUCACUACACAGAGAGGUAGAAAGAGAAAGAGAAAGAGCAGAGGGAAUACCGAAGAAAGUGGCCGAAUACUGGAGUUCAUCUCUAACCUGCAUUUGAUCAGUCGGCACGAGGUUAGCCACUUCUCACUCUGAAAUCUUCUCGACUCUUUCACGACUUACCAUGUCCGAAGCAGAUAACCUGAGCAAAUUCCAUUAUCUCUAACCCAAAAUUGAAACAACCCAAACGCUCAAAACACCCAAUUCCUCAAUUUCAUUUCUUCUGCCGAGCAUGAGAAAAAUGAGAGGUUUCAAGCUCCCAAAACGACUCUGCCGGGUCACCCGAUGGUUCUUCCUCAGAAAAUCCACCACUCUAAAACGGAUACCAUAGGCUUUGCCCGCCUUCAUCUCCGCCAUGCAAGUACAAGUCGCUUCGCACGAAGCUACUCACUUGAGGGAAUUGUGGGCUAUCUGUGGUUGCUGCAUCUGCAGCUCCAUCAGCUGCAACUGUAGUACAAGCUGGCACAAAAAGCUUACCUCUAAGCCUUGCAGGUGCUUUUUGAUGAGAGGGUCAUCUUGGCUCAUCAAUCAGGAUUAGAAGCUUCCCAACCUGCUCUAACUCAAUAUCGGGUGCUUGGUCCUACGAUGAAUGAAUGCUCAUGGAUUGAAUUACAACCACUCACUAGCUGAAAGCAUCAAGUAUAAAUUCCUAAAUUUAAAUGUGCGCGCCGCCGCCCCCCCCCAUUUCAUCAGCUUUGAUGGAAAGAAGUUGUUUGCUUAGGUGUUGAAUAUCAAUUGGUUUCAGGAGGCAACCAAGUGGGAACGACUAGGCUGAAGAACUAGCUGCGGCUCUAGCAGUAAGCAAGGGUCAUCCUGUACAAAAUGAUAUCAAUGCGGUAUGCCUAUCAAUUUCUUGAGAUGCUGAUCAACUUUUAGAAUCAGAAAGGAAGUUUCAUUGAUAUUGAAAGUGUUAAUUUUUGGAUGGCUGAGGAAAGCUUUAUGGAUCGCCUAGGCACCUAUAUGCAUGAAUCAUGCCCCAAGAUUGACAAAGAUUGCUGGCAAGGAAACUGUAAUGAACCAUUUCCAGCUUCUUUGGUGUUUGUAGUCCAUGGAUCAGAUGAGUCCGCUUCGGUUGAAGAUGCAUUUGAGUUUGGCAAGAUCAUACCGGACCACUAAAUACAUAUUAUACAAAGAUCUAAUCAUUGUUACACGUCGCAUCAAGCCAAGUUGGACACAGUUGGUGGUGGACUUGAUAAAGGGAGCUCUGCAGCAAAACAAGGCCUUUUCCAACUAGCUGGGUACUCUAUGCUUACCAAUCAACAUUUAAAUUCAUGUUGUGUAUGUCCUAUGUCAUUAGAUUGUUGAUUCUUAUCUUUGAUGCUGAAUUGUUUUCCGAGUCUGUUUUUUGUAUGCCUAUAGAACUUUGAAUCACAUAUUGACAUAGGGAAGGAUUCCCUACCGCCCCAGCCUCCCUCUAUAACACUUAUUUCUGAUGCUUCUCUUAACUCCUCAUCGUUAAAAUUAAGACCAUACUUCCACAACAUAAUUAAAAAGUACACCUUCUCAUAAAGUACAUCUUAUUAAUCUGAUUAUUCUUGAAAAGGCUUGAUUUAAAUGCUGUUCCCAACCCAGAAAUGGUUAGUAUUGUUGAGCAUGUAUGCAGACCUGCCUUCAUGAUAUUCCAUCUUUCUGAAAUUAUGAGUAUGAGUGAGUUAGUAUUGUUUGAUUGUUACUGUGACAAUCAGAAGACUUUGAUUGGCCAUAUGUUAUGCAUUGAGCUUAUUUUGUUUCUUAAUUGUUAUUCUUUUGCUUCGUAGUGUAUAACAGUUACCAAUUAAUAUUUUAUCUAUUUCUCAAUGCUUCAAAAUACAAGUGCAUAGGAGAGUGUCUUCCAAAAUCACAUCAAGUGCAUGCCAAGCAAGAUUGAAAACUGAAGGACCAUCUUUAGAACACUGUCAGUAGAAGAUCAAUAAAGCUGUGCAUAUAUUUUUGCUUCCUACAUGACAACAUUUUUUUGAUAAGACACUAAUUUAUAUGAAGCUGUGAAGACCUUUUUUGCUCCCUACAUAGUGAUCUUUUGUGAUGAAGUGAUAUCCACCAUUAUUUCGAUAUUAUACUGUUUUGUAGAAAGACUGCAUACAAAAUGCAUAUCCUUGAACUAGAUUCAUACAAUGUAAACUAAGUUCUAAAACAAUUUGUUUAACGCAUAUUUUUCGUUUCAUGUAAACACAUCUUAGUUAUCUUUGUCAACCAAAAACUUAAAAUCGAACAUAAAGAGAUUAAAGUAGAAAAUCUGCCCCGCGGCAACGCGCGGGUUCUCA
Molecule: long non-coding RNA, 2402 nt
Organism: Rosa chinensis
Lineage: Eukaryota; Viridiplantae; Streptophyta; Magnoliopsida; Rosales; Rosaceae
Exons: 8
Source: RefSeq, a predicted model, not a curated record